This 364-nucleotide ribosomal RNA is filed under the name Kyklioacalles punctaticollis punctaticollis. Its description in RNAcentral is "eukaryotic LSU rRNA". It matches the Rfam family "Eukaryotic large subunit ribosomal RNA", at positions 1340 to 1663 of the family's 3401-position model. The record is from RNAcentral. Lineage: Eukaryota; Metazoa; Arthropoda; Insecta; Coleoptera; Curculionidae.
GCUUAUACUCGACCGUCAGCGGCACGUGCGAUCGCGCGAGCGAUCACGAAGCCCUGACGAGUAGGAGGGUCGCGGCGGUGAGCGCAGAAGGGCUGGCCGCGAGGCCGUCUGGAGCCGCCGUCGGUGCAGAUCUUGGUGGUAGUAGCAAAUACUCCAGCGAGGCCCUGGAGGACUGACGUGGAGAAGGGUUUCGUGUGAACAGCCGUUGCACACGAGUCAGUCGAUCCUAAGCCCUAGGCGAAAGCCGAUGUCGAUGCGGUGUAGCUUUAUUAUGUUAUUUAAUUUACAAGCACACACCCGUCGGGCGAAAGGGAAUCCGGUUCCUAUUCCGGAACCUGGCAGCGGAACCGUAAAAAAGUCGGGC